CACAAGCGGCGGAGCAUGCGGAUUAAUUCGAUGCAACGCGAAGAACUUACCAAGGCUUGACAUACACCGGUAACGCCCACGAGAUGGGUGCCCCUUCGUUGGUCGGUGGACAGGUGGUGCAUGGUUGUCGUCAGCUCGUGUCGUGAGAUGUUGGGUUAAGUCCCGCAACGAGCGCAACCCUCGUCCUAUGUUGCCAGCGGGUCAUGCCGGGGACUCAUGGGAGACUGCCGGGGUCAACUCGGAGGAAGUGGGAUGACGUCAAAUCAUCAUGCCCCUUAUGUCUUGGGCUUCACGCAUGCUACAAUGGCCGGUACAAAGGGCUGCGAUACCGCGAGGUGGAGCGAAUCCCAGAAAGCCGGUCUCAGUUCGGAUUGAGGUCUGCAACUCGACCCCAUGAAGUCGGAGUCGCUAGUAAUCGCAGAUCAGCAACGCUGCGGUGAAUACGUUCCCGGGCCUU
This 457-nucleotide ribosomal RNA is filed under the name uncultured Cellulomonas sp. Its description in RNAcentral is "bacterial SSU rRNA". It matches the Rfam family "Bacterial small subunit ribosomal RNA", at positions 924 to 1382 of the family's 1533-position model. Lineage: Bacteria; Bacillati; Actinomycetota; Actinomycetes; Micrococcales; Cellulomonadaceae. The record is from RNAcentral.